Molecule: long non-coding RNA, 1230 nt
Filed under: Oncorhynchus kisutch (coho salmon)
Lineage: Eukaryota; Metazoa; Chordata; Actinopteri; Salmoniformes; Salmonidae
Description: lncRNA (ENSOKIG00005045450.1)
Source: RNAcentral
AUGUUUUAUUGCCCACAGGACUUCUAUAUCUCUCAUCUGAUUCGUCAACUUGAGGACUUGGACAUGUCAAGUGGCGUCAGAGCACAGAAGAUAUUUCCAUCAACACUCAAUUCAAGUAUCUACCUGACCACCUGCCAUAGCCCAUCAGAGUCUACAUCAGUCCAGAGCCAAUCACAGAGAGCCCAGUUCAGGAUGAUCCACAGACGUCCAACAAUCAACAUCCAUCAUCUCAACAGCAGGCUACGGCACCCGAGUUUCACCAAACAUAACCAAGGGGAGGGCCGGGACACAAGCUGCAGUGAGUCUCUGUUGAAAAUCACACCUGUCCAGGCGGCUUACACUAUCAAUUCGAGGGAUAGGAGAAGGGCCAAUGGGGAGAGGAGGGUAAAGACAUUCUACUGUUGGGGCCCAAUGAAUGACAGAGCAGGGCUUGGGUCAGGAACCAUCACCGAUGGGUCAAAGCGAAACGGUAGCAGCACACCGGCAGACAUCCACUCUGACGCCAGCGAUCUAUCCGACCAAGAGAAAGGGGGCGCCCAGGCCCACGAGUGGGUUACGCCCAAAGUAGAGCUCCGGUUGAGGCCUGAACCUUUCGACUUAGACCUGGACUCCGACUUGCACUUCUCGGAGUCGUCGGAGGCCCAGUCGCCAUUUGCGGAGGUGCUCCCAGCAUCUCUGAAAGUGCUGGAUCUGACCCGGAGUCUGCCCAGCACGGCCGAUUGGGAAAGUCGCCAGAGCCUGCACAUGCGAGAGCCUUCAUUGGUUGCCAUCGUAAGCAGACUAUCUGAGAUGGAGGAUCUGCAGGCGGCCACAGUACAGCGAGAGCUGACCAAAACGGGCCGGUGUCGGCCGGCGACGGCCAUCAGCUUGACCAGGAGCACUUCUCGCUUGAGGAAAGCAGAUUCAGUUGUGUCCAGUGUUACGGAACUGAGCCUGUCUCAAGACUCACGCACUAGGCCGACUUGUGCUCCUUACAAACAGAAUCGCAUCAGGGUGGGUGCAAGGCCACAUACAGUCUUUAAGAGACCCUGUUCCAGCUCAGCCAAACUAAACAGGACAGAGACCCUUGUCCAGGUCCAGUCUUGGGGUGAGGGAUCAACACCAAAACCUACAGGUUGCACCAAAAUCAGAAAAGCCAAAGCUAACAAGAAAGGUACAUUGACCUCCCACAGAGUGUCACCACCAAGCUCUGCAAAGAGAACUAAAGCCAGGGACUUGAGAAAAGCUUAA